This is a small nucleolar RNA of Mastomys coucha (southern multimammate mouse), 132 nucleotides long. RefSeq annotates it as small nucleolar RNA SNORA17. NCBI's taxonomy places the organism in Eukaryota, Metazoa, Chordata, Mammalia, Rodentia, Muridae. The transcript has a single exon. The record is from RefSeq and is a predicted model, not a curated record.
UCUGUCCCUAGAGGCUUUGCAGGUUUGGCUGCUGUGUUACAUGUGCAACAAUAGGUGGCAGAGAGGAGAGAAGGUAUGUCUAAGCUUAGUGUUCUCACUUGUAAACAUUUGAAAGAUCAGUAGCUUAACAUU